Molecule: long non-coding RNA, 2099 nt
Organism: Hypanus sabinus (Atlantic stingray)
Lineage: Eukaryota; Metazoa; Chordata; Chondrichthyes; Myliobatiformes; Dasyatidae
Exons: 3
Source: RefSeq, a predicted model, not a curated record
GCGAAAUGAUAGGAGAAGAACGGAGGGGGUGGAAUGAAGCUAAGAGCUGGAAAGGUGAUUGGCGAAAGUGAUACAGAGCUGGAGAAGGGAAAGGAUCAUGGGACGGGAGGCCUCAGGAGAAAGAAAGGGGGGGAAGCACCAGAGGGAGAUGGAGAACAGGCAAACAACCAAACAUGGGGUAAGAAGGGGAGGAGGGACAUUAACAGAAGUUAGAGAAGUCGAUGUUCAUGCCAUCAGGCUGGAGGCUACCCAGCCGGUAUAUAAGGUGUUGUUCCUCCGACAUGAGUUUGGAUUCAUUUUGACAGUAGCGGAGGCCAUGGAUAGACAUAUCAGAAUGGGACGUGGAAUUAAAAUGUGUGGCCUCUGGGAGAUCCUGCUUUUUCUGGCGGACUGAGCGUAGGCGUUCAGCGAAACAGUCUCCCAGUCUGCGUCGGGUCUCACCAAUAUAUAAAAGGCCACACCGGGAGCACCGGACGCAGUAUACCACACCAGCCGACUCACAGAUGCUGCCUGGCCUGCUGAGUUCCUCCAGUAUAUUGUGUGUGUUCCUUGGAUUUCCAGCAUCUGCAGAUUCUCUCGUUUGUGAUUCAAAUGCAUCUAUAACCAUCUUGAUGUGCUAAACAUCAAAAUAUCUACCUCUCCCAUUGGUGCUGCCCUCCAGUGUUUGCUCAAUGGAUGACAAGCUGGAUCGCAUACAUCUACGGCUGCACCACAGCGAGAUGUGGAACUGCUGCCUGCUUGUUCUUGCAGAAACACGGCUCCAGGACAACAUCCCAUGCACCAAAAAUCUACAAGCCAUGAUACUUAGGAAUUUGAGCUGUAUUUUUUUUGUGACUGUUUAUCAUAACUGUAUGUGCUGUGUGAGACUGUGGGUACUGUUUUUUGCAUCUUGGCCUCAGAGGAACGAUGUUUCAUUUGUCUAUAUUCACACAUAUGUUUGAAUGGCAAUUACAUUUGAAAUUGAACUCUCAAAAUAGAUGCUAACAUUGUAUUUGCCUUUCCACUGACUCAAUCUGCAAGUUAAACUUUCGGGAACCCUGCACGAAGACUCCUAAGACCCUUUCCACCAAUGAUUUCUUAUUUUUCUCCCCAUUUAGAAAAUAGUAUAUGCCUUUAUUCCUUUGUUACGAAGGAUGGGCAGAAGAGUGCUGAGUCGCCCAUGCCCCUCCCCCUUUUGGAGAAUCGCAAAUCGCUACUAUUUCGAUGCUGAUAACAAGGAAGUAAGAGAGACAAAGGAAAGCUGCCAGGGCAGUUGUUAUUGAUAACAGCUCAUGAAGGAGAAUGAGAGAGAGACACAGCUAAAAGGUACCCCAUGGUGGAAUGGCUCCUACCAACAAAAGAGGAGCGGAACCAUAGAUUACUGCUAUUGUCUUUUGGAGAAGGAUUGUUUACCUGGUACUGUUCUAUUCAUUGAAACCUCUCAGGGGGCAACCAGAGUGGGCUGGUUUGAUGGGUUACAUCAUCCCAACCUGAUUGACACCUGAGACCCCAUGAGAGGGGAUAAAAGUGAGGUCUGGGGUAACACCCCUCAGAUGCACCAGGAGAAAUGCUAGUGAGCAUCAGAACCCCCUUGAGACAGGGUGGGAGAUCGGAGACCGAACGAAGGGUCGGUAAAUUUUAACUCACUGUGUUAUGUAGCGAGACCAAUGGGGGCUUGUGUGUGUGUCCACCCUUACCUGGGUGACGAGUCCACCAUGGAAGAACGGUCUAGCUAAAGGACGGAGAGGUCAUAUGUGACUGGCCACAACAACAACGCAUCGACGGAUCAAAAUCGUAAAGGAAGGUUGGCAAGAUAAUAGCUGUUACUGUUCACACAUUUUCUCUCUCUCUCUCUCUCUCUCUCUCUCUCCAACAAUUGCAACACAUCGACAAACAACUACCGCAGCCUGCAUGAACUAAACUGAACUUUAUAUUUCCAUCUGACAAAUCAUUAUCCCGUAGACAACGAUAGAGCUUGUUUCAUUAGUGAUUAUUAUUAAACCCGCACUUUUAGGUUUAGUAUUGCUAACGUAUAUUCUUUGUAUAUUCGCAUUGAUAUUAUUUUGUAUAUUUUUGCUAAUAAAUAUUGUUGAAAAUAGUAUCACCAGACUCCAACGGAC